Molecule: ribosomal RNA, 572 nt
Filed under: uncultured bacterium
Lineage: Bacteria
Description: partial 16S ribosomal RNA
Rfam family: Bacterial small subunit ribosomal RNA
Source: RNAcentral
UGGGGAAUAUUGCACAAUGGGCGCAAGCCUGAUGCAGCCAUGCCGCGUGUGUGAAGAAGGCCUUCGGGUUGUAAAGCACUUUCAGCGAGGAGGAAGGUGGUGAGCUUAAUACGCUCAUCAAUUGACGUUACUCGCAGAAGAAGCACCGGCUAACUCCGUGCCAGCAGCCGCGGUAAUACGGAGGGUGCAAGCGUUAAUCGGAAUUACUGGGCGUAAAGCGCACGCAGGCGGUUUGUUAAGUCAGAUGUGAAAUCCCCGGGCUCAACCUGGGAACUGCAUUUGAAACUGGCAAGCUAGAGUCUCGUAGAGGGGGGUAGAAUUCCAGGUGUAGCGGUGAAAUGCGUAGAGAUCUGGAGGAAUACCGGUGGCGAAGGCGGCCCCCCUGGACGAAGACUGACGCUCAGGUGCGAAAGCGUGGGGCAGCAAACAGGAUUAGAUACCCUGGUAGUCCAGCGCUGUAAACGAUGUCGAUUUGGAGGUUGUGCCCUUGAGGCGUGGCUUCCGGAGCUAACGCGUUAAAGUCGACCGCCUGGGGGAGUACGGCCGCAAGGUUAAAACUCAAAGGAAUUGAC